GAUCAAUCUCAUCGCCGCUCCCCACUUCGUCGUCACCACACAAACAUUGGACAGAGAAGGUGGAAUUGAGGCCGUCAACAGCAUUCUGGAUACUAUCAAAAAUGCGAUUGAAGGAUUCAAGGGAAAAUUCACGAUCAAGGAGGAGGCGAGAAUUGUGACGGAUAUUGAUGAUGAGAAGAAGAAGGGUGAUGGAGAUGAGGAUGAGGAGGAAUCAGAGGAAGACGAGGACGAGGAAGAGGAUGAGGAUGAUGAUGGACUCAUGGCUCCAAAGGGUUUGGAUCAACAAGUCGACGCGGAAGAAGCCAGCAGAGAUAACCGAAAGAAGGCCGGCGACGAUGAAGACAGUGAUGAGGAGGAUGAUUAA
This 364-nucleotide unclassified non-coding RNA is filed under the name Caenorhabditis elegans. Its description in RNAcentral is "Non-coding transcript of protein-coding gene eif-2alpha". The record is from RNAcentral. Lineage: Eukaryota; Metazoa; Nematoda; Chromadorea; Rhabditida; Rhabditidae.